GAUGAACGCUGGCGGCGUGCCUAAUACAUGCAAGUCGAGCGAACAGACGAGGAGCUUGCUCCUCUGACGUUAGCGGCGGACGGGUGAGUAACACGUGGAUACCCUACCUAUAAGACUGGGAUAACUUCGGGAAACCGGAGCUAAUACCGGAUAAUAUCUUGAACCGCAUGGUUCAAUAGUGAAAGACGGUGUUGCUGUCACUUAUAGAUGGAUCUGCGCCGCAUUAGCUAGUUGGUACGGUAACGGCUUACCACGGCAACGAUGCGUAGCCGACCUGAGAGAGGGAUCGGCCGCACGGGAACGGGGACACGGACCAGAGGACUACGGUAGGGCGCAGACGGCAAUGGUCCGCAGCAGGCGAAAGUAUGACGGAGCAACGGCGAGUGAGAGAAGAAGGUCUUCGGAGCGUAAAGCUCGGUUACUAGUGAAGAACAAAUGUGGAAGUAAACAUGCACGGCGUGACGGUACCUAAUCAGAAAGCAACGGCUAACUACGUG
Molecule: ribosomal RNA, 497 nt
Filed under: uncultured bacterium
Lineage: Bacteria
Description: partial 16S ribosomal RNA
Rfam family: Bacterial small subunit ribosomal RNA
Source: RNAcentral